AUGUUGAGAUACACCAACUGUGAAGGCUAGUCUUUGACAAUUACCAAUAGUGUCCACCGUCUUUAAGAAAAGGGAGCUUGCAUCAGUGUUUUUGUUAUCUGCAGAUUGGGGCAUAGCACCUUGUAGACCCUAACAAGGUGCUUGUACACGUAUAAAUGAGUCCACAGCUUUGAAUAACCUGUAUACCCAUAAUGAUAUCAUAAUACAAAUCAUAAUUCACAUACAAAAUCUUCAUUUUAUUUUUUGUGAAAAACAAUCACAAUACAAAUCAUAGAGUAAAUCCUGUACACAAGAACAUCACUCCUUGAUAACAAAAACUUCAUUUUAUUUUCUAUGAAAAAAACGGUCAGCAAAUUUGGAGCGAACUCACAGACAACACAUGGAAGCCUCUUCAGCAUUACAGUUCAAUCAGUGUACAAAAAUAUUGUGCCAACUCUAAAUUUACAUACAUCCUAUAUUUACAUUACAAUCAAUUUUAUUGAUAAAGCCAUGGAAUUUAUUUCAUUUUUCAUCAUGUUUUAAGUAACAAAAUAACAAGAACAGAGCACCUACUUAGUUAAAGAAAUUUAAUUUUCAUUUGUAAACUUCACAACUAAUUUUUUCUUACAGUGUGAGGGCGCUAUAUGUCAGAGGUUUUGGUCAUAAUACAAGGAUGAGAGCAUGCAGAGAGGAUCUCUGGUAGUCAUCCAGAAAGACUGUAAUUAACGUGCAUCAAGAUGACAGACACUCCAGGUUUGGCUGCUUCGACACAAGAUACACACAGCGGACCCUGAAAACAAACAAUACAACGUAUCACAGCACCAGAUUCUUCAGCUUCUAGCAUCCCAGGAGCAAAGUGGACCCUCUUAUUAGCCUUAGGAGUGGAUGAAGGAUUUUUAGUCACUCAGUGAUGCUCAUGGAAUUUAUCAUGCAAGGGAACAUGUCCAAGCUGGUAGAU
Molecule: long non-coding RNA, 937 nt
Organism: Asterias rubens (European starfish)
Lineage: Eukaryota; Metazoa; Echinodermata; Asteroidea; Forcipulatida; Asteriidae
Exons: 5
Source: RefSeq, a predicted model, not a curated record